This 1055-nucleotide long non-coding RNA is filed under the name Sorghum bicolor (sorghum). RNAcentral describes it as "long non-coding RNA (SBIC_LNC016970)". The record is from RNAcentral. Lineage: Eukaryota; Viridiplantae; Streptophyta; Magnoliopsida; Poales; Poaceae.
CCCAUUUACCUUCUUAAUGUAUUAAAAUCUGAUUUUAUUUCACAUGAUUAGAGGUCAAACUCUUACACUAUAUUUCAGGACGGAUGAUGUGUAGAAGCCUACAUGGAAGCUUAUCAUCACACUCCCUUUGUUAAGGUAACUUUCCCCGUCACCUAGACAUAUGUGACAAAGCUAAUUGUCUACUUUUAAAAAAUCAUUUAUAUGGUAUGAAAAGGUUGUGAUUUAUUCUAAUAUAAAAAGAUAGUCUUGUCCCGUCUGUACGGCAAAGUAGAGCUCCUACGAAACAGAAGUGACACGACAAGUUUUCACAUGAAUAUGUGCCGAUAGAAGAUUUCUCUUGUCCAAUACAAAUAGCACACAUUUAUCACCCUAAUUGAUGCCGCGCAAGGAUGAUUUUGCCACACCAUAUGGACUGACACGGCCAAAACAGAAAAAAAAUUGAGUGUUUUUCUAAUAUAUGAUUUAAGAAAAAGGUUAAAAAUAAAAAAAAGGGUCCAUGUUCGAUUUCUUACCGAACAUCGUUGAAGCAUGAUAUUGUUUUUUUAGACUAGAGUUUGAUUCACCACCUCAGUUAUGGCUUGCCACAGAUUGUAAGCUCACAAUGUGUCAAACUUUGCCAUAGUUGUGACUUAAAAAAAUACACACUUUAUAUGGCAAGCAUAGUUUGCCUAAGAUUAGGUGAACACAGGAUUAGAACCAAUGGCGAAGCCACAUGUUAACUAGGGGGUGAAAAUGCACCCUCUAAAAAUUAUAAAACUAGUGAUUAGGUCUAAAAUUUUAUCAUAUAUGCUUUCCUCACGGAAGAUGUUUAUGCACCCACAGCUAAGUAUACCCCCCUUCAAUUUGCUCUAGCUUCGCCACUGAUUAGAACAUCUCCAAUAUUACCUAGCAUUUCUAAGAUGACCAAGCUCCAUUUUGGAACAAACCCUGUCGACGAAAGCUAGUCGACAGUCUACCUUGGGGUAUAUCCACGAACUUGAUGGUGACGCAAGACACAGACCAAGAUUUUAUCCAGGUUCGGCCGCCGUGUGGGCGUAAUACCUGCGUCCUGCAUC